Long non-coding RNA from Esox lucius (northern pike), 745 nucleotides. RefSeq lists it as uncharacterized. Lineage: Eukaryota; Metazoa; Chordata; Actinopteri; Esociformes; Esocidae. The record is from RefSeq and is a predicted model, not a curated record. The transcript is spliced from 4 exons.
CUUCACGCGGAGGGAUAAUUGAGGAGUAGGCUAUGUGUGAGCGUUGUUUGGAGAAGACCAUGUUCUAGUUGCUGUCUCCCAUGAGAUAAUAUUUGAUAAUUUGUAGGAUGUGCUUUGAGUCAAAUAUGCGAGGAAUUACCAAAGCAUCAGAUGUCCAAACGUCAUAUGUAUGUUGUUAAAUAUAUGAAACAGCAUUACUAUUGCAGUGAGAGGAUAAUGCGGUGACAGCCACUGUCCACACUGGCACUUGAGGAAAUCUGAAAGGAGUGCGAAGACAGGCCUACCGAAUAGGAGCGCACGCUCAGGUAGUUUACCUGUUCGCGUGCGUAUAGCUCCCUGCAUGUAUCCAGAGGCACAGCGGAUAGGUAGCCUACCUCUACUGUUAAUAUUUACGGAAUUACAUAUUUGAUACCGGAGUACGGAGGGCAACAAGAAAUCCACGAUUUCGUUGAGCAAUUCAUUUGGUUUUUGGGCUGUCCCCUGGCGUCCACACAUCCCAGAGAAAUGUCUGAGGCCUUGAUAUAUUCCUCUUGGGUUUCCAUGGCCGCACCGCAAGGCGAGAUCCUGUUGCACUGAUGUCACACUUGAACGUAAGCACCUCUCUACGGGGAGGGAUUCACAAGAUCCCAAGUCCCUCCAGAGGGUGGAAACAUUUCCGGAGUGUGUCAACGGCUGCCAUCUCCCCUCCGUGCAAAGCAUCUACCAUACAUCAUCAAAGACUACAGCCACCCAGGAUAUGGUCUCU